AACUCCUUUAAUUUCAUAGUCUAAAAAUUGAUAUUCGUGAUGCAUUUGUUAAAAGUUUUGUUAGUUUACGUGUUUCUAAUAUCACCAAUAAAAUGUGUUGUAGGGGAAACUUCUCCACAAUUAAUUUAUGAAUUGUCUGAAAUAACAAAAAACUUAACAGAUCUUUCCAACAUUAUCGACGAUAAUAAUUAUAUGACAGGCGAUAAAAAAGAAGAAUAUGUCUUUACAACACUGGAAACUAUUUACGUUAAGAUUGGAGGGUUGAACCAAUCACUUUACAGAGAUGAACAAAGUGUGAAUAUCAUUACACUUGCAAGUGGUUUUUCUGUUGUCGAUAUAACAACCAUUUACACCCAUUUUAAUGUAAUGAACAAUCUUGUCAGAAAUUAUAAAAAAAGUGCCAAGUCUAUGUUACUUGCUGAAGCUAAGAAAAUAAUUUUACCAAAAACAAACUCAUCAGUUGUAUUUUUGAGCGGAAAAAUUUACGAACAAGUAACAAGUUCAGAUUUUUUAGAAAUGUUUCAGGAAAAUUUGAGGGGGGAUAAAGGUUCCUGUAAUGUAUUUCAAUCUUCACGACAGCUAUUUGACAAUUUUAUUAAUGGUAUUCUACUAAUACACAGUGAGUCAUUUGUUCUCGAACAAACGGCUUUCAGUAUUAAAAACUUGUACGAACAAGCUGUCGUUGGUAGUAAGAUGCAACAAAGUCAAGAUAAUUUUAUCGUAGACAUUAACAUUAUAACAAGACUGAUGAAGCAUUAUGCUGAAAAAAUACCAACAGAAAUGUGGAGAUGCCAUCCGGAUAAGCAUAUUAAAGGCGAAACAUACUUGGAAAUUACCAACUUCCUUCAUGGUUACUUAGUACACCAAAGAAAUUUGGACCCCCAAGGGCGAUGCGUAAACGAUUGUAAGUCUUUUAAAAUGACAAAAUUUCAACAAUGUGUUUAUGAUAAAGCAUGGUGUAAAGAAGAAAUUCCUUGUGCCAGAAUCAUUAGUUGUAGUACGUCUAUUGAUUCAACAAUGGAAAUCUGUCCUGCUAAUUUCCCUGAGGAUAACAGAAGAUAUUACCACAUAAAAUUACAUAAAGGAACAUUUUUUGGAACAAAAGAACCAUGCAACAGCGAAACGACAGUUUUGGAAUUAAACAAAUACUACAGCUAUUUGCCAACUUUUCAAUGUCCUUAUUGUUUUUGUUUGUGUGAGGAGAGUCACACUUUAUCUUCUGAUAGAUAUAUUAAUUUACGGAUUAGUAUGGUUAAUAUAAGUGAUAACAGAGUUGUCACAGGCUUGAGAUUCAUUAAACACAAUCGAAUCAUUCAUUUGCAAGUACAAGAAGGAAAACUUCUUCAAAGGGGUUAUGUUGAUCCAAAAACUGUUCAAUGGGUCCCCCCUGAAGAUUAUAAAAUCACUGAUAGAUAUAUUUCUAAGGGACAAGAUUAUCAUACAUUCUCUUGGGAAGGACGAAUUAUAGAGUUAACUGAAAUAAAGGCCGAAGAAGGAUCAGUUGUAACAGGUGUUAGAUUCAUUAAAAAAAUGGAUAGUUUAAGUUUACAAGUUGUGACAACAGCAUUCGAUUUUAACACUGGAAAACUAGAAAAAAAUCCAAAUUGUAGUACAUUUAAAAGCACACCAAAUUUCUAUUGGAGGCAUAAAUUUAAGGAAAAUGUUAAGUUAGAGUCACCAGACAUUCCUAUUCGUAAAAAUUUGGCGUCCACUGAUUUCUCAAAAAACAAGUGUAUUAAAUUUACUAAUACAGACUACCAAAAGGACGCCGGACAAACGACGAUACCAUUCUUCGACGCCCAACCUGUUAAUAGUACUAUUCCAACUCCAUUAUCUGGUGUAGGUCUCUUUCACAAAGGGCACAAAGGAUCUGGAGGUUUUAUAGCACCAAAAAUUUUCACUUACGAUUUUAGUAAAUAUAUACUAGUGAUACAUGCAGAGACUCGUCCAAUGUCGAAUAAACCAAUAACAAAUUCUCAAACGUCACAUAUGGCUACGAAUUAUAAAGAGAAAACGAAUAAUUUCAGCAAAGACAAUGUGACUAAGCCAUCGGAUGUAAAGGCAUCUCAUCUUUCGUCAGAUACGACGAUAACUAAAUAUAAAAAUUCUACCCAGUCACCUAGGACUCCCAGUCUUGUAAACCGAAAAACAAAAACUGCAAUUAAUGUUACCGGUGCAAUCAAUACUAUAACAGUUCGUCCGGAUAGAGACAAUGAAGAAGAUAUUUCCCUGACAAUUACAAUGAUUUUUAUUCUUGUUCCACAGUUACUGCUUUUUAUUGUUGCUAUAAUUAUUUUUAAAAAGCAACUGAAGAAAAUAUGUGUCAAAACUGAUAUGGACAGAAGACCAGAAACUAUACCACUACAAAAUAUUGUAAUUGAGAGCCAUAAUUUAAGAAAUAUUAAAAAAGAAAACUUUAUUGAAUAUUUGAUUUGCAACUUAGAAACCAACGAAUUAGAAGAUGGUUUCCUAAAAUUGCCAACUGUUACGGACAAAACAACGUGGGAAGCAUUAAGAAAUAUAAAUAAUAAUAAAAACCGACAUUGUAAACGAAAUAACCUUCCAUAUGAUUAUAAUAGAGUUGUUCUUAAAAAGCUGGACGGAGUGGGAACAGGCGAUUACAUAAAUGCUAGUUAUAUUAACGGUGUUGAUCGCUCCAAGGCAUACAUCGCGAGUCAAGGGCCAAAAUAUUACACGCUACGAGAUUUUUGGAGAAUGAUUUGGCAAGAAAAAGUUGAAGUAAUAGUAAUGGCGACAAAUUUUAUAAAUGACGACGGAAAUAAAAGACUAUGUGCCGAAUAUCUACCUCCAAAAGUAGAUUCAAUUUUUGAAUGUGGCCGCAUCAUAGUGGAAUUAAUUGAUGAAGAAAACUAUGAAUAUUAUGUCAAAAGAAAGUUAAAAGUUCGUUACUUGAAAUUCCAACGAGAAAUUUGUCAUAUUCACAUACAUUGGCAAUCUGAUAGUCAACUUCUUUAUUCAAAUGAUUUAAUGCCAGUUGUCAAAGAAAUAAAUCAAUUAUACGAAAAAACUUUGCAUCCAGUUUUAAUACAUUCUGGGUAUGGUACAACUAGAACGGGUGUUUUAAUCCUGUGCGAUAUGGCACUAAAAAUGCUUAAAAGUUGCAACACUGUUAAUAUUUACGACUUGGCUAAGAAAUUGGCAGAACAAAGAUGCAGUCUUAUAAAUUCGUCGCAACAAUAUAUAUUAGUUCACUUAUUGAUAUCAGAAUAUAUAAUGGAAGAAGAUUGUCCAUUAACAGAUAGUGCAACUGAAAGUCUUCAAGAAAAAGAUGCUAAAAAUUUGUUGAAAUACAUUGAAGAAUUAUGCUACUAUGACAAAAUUGUUCGAUCUUGGAUGCCCAAAGCUACAGAAACCAAUAUUCCUACAAUUUUUGCUGAUGGCUAUGGAAAACAUGAGAACUAUAUAGUUACACAACUAAGAAGAAAUGUUGAAAAUAAAUCAGCUGCGUUCUGGAUGUUAGUUGCUGAUAAGUCUGUAGAUUGUAUUGUAUCUUUAAGCAACGUGACAAUGCAAAGAUAUGCAAACUCCGAAAAUAAGAAAUACUUCGAGUUAAUUUCUGAUGAAAAACUCCAGUUUCGGAAAUCUCAAGACAUAUACAAAAAUACUUCGUACUGUAUACUUUUUGGUUACAAACGUUACUUUUUCUCGUUUAACUAUGAUGUUUUCGUGCCCAAAUCUUACACUUUAAUAGUUAUUUACAUUUACGUACGGUAAAUAUGUAAUACGUAUACUAUGUUUUAUCUACGCCUGGAGGAGUUGAGGUUGGACAAAUUGGGAGUUCAGUCGGCUACAAAUGUACAAAAGUUCUGAAAUGUAAAAAUAUUACUAUCAAGGUCUCUAAAAAUAAUAAAAUAAAUCAUAAAUACUUUUUUUCAUAAUACUGUAACAAAUGUUACCUGUAAGGGGCGCCAGCUAAGAUGAGGCCAGCGAGAACGAAUUAAAGGCAAAUUUUAACAUAUAAAAAAAACUCAAGUAUAGGAAAAACCUUCAAAAGUUAAGGCGCCCUUUUUACAGAUGUGGACGUUCUCAAUGAUUUUAACGUGCUUUAUAAAAAAUAAAUAUCAAGUUAUCUAGUGUUUAUAACAGUUAUACAAUGUGUUUUUAAAUGAUCCUCAUCUAGUUAACUUUGAAAUUGGUUUACGUGUAAAAAAAAUGAUGCCGCUCUGUUCAAUUGUAUUCUCUGUCAAUAAAUGUCAAAACUGUUGAUUGUGAAAUUCACAAAUUGUCAGUUACUUAAAUUUAAAAAUUUUGUUAAAAUGCAACUAAAUUGUUGCACUAUACAAGAAAACACUUUUAUUGUCGAAGCUUAUUUCCGAAUUUGAGACUUAAUAAAUGGAAAAUGAUAAUAUUCAGUAUUUAAAUGCCUGUUAUUAACUCUAUAAAGCGGCAUUUCUGAUUUUACAUGGGAAAUUCACAGAUGACUAGAUGAGAAUCAUUUACGGUUGUGUACAAUUUGUUGCAAUUAAUAAAAAGUUAUUCAAAAUCAAUUUGAAAUCGAAAUUUGGAUAAUAAAAGCUUAUGACUUUAGAUAGAGAAAAGAAAAGAAAAAUAGUUCACAAAUUCUAUGCAAUAUAUAAAGUGAGUCUCCUAAAAAUAUUCUUUACUACACCUACCACAAAAACUAAUAAUUCCAUAGAAAUUAUAUAAAAAUUUAAACCUCUUAAAUUUAAAAAUAAAUUGUAUACGUCCUGUUAUAAUUCAGUUCAAUCAAUAGACUUAUAGACUUAGACCUUGUUCAAGACGUAUGUACGUACUAAUAAUGUUAUCAAGAAAACACCGUUUCUAUUUUUUAUUAAUUUUCAAAUCUUAAGGUGUAAAAUCGAUUUCUUUUGAUUUUUAUUUUUUUAACAGUAAUCCCUCAAUCCAUUUAAAAAACAUUGGGGACAUGUAAGAAGCUACAAAGACAUCCUAAUGAGCCCUAAAAAAUAAUAAUAUGCCAUUAAAAAAAUAUUUUAUGACGUAAUACUAUUUUGGGACUGUGUAUAGUCAAAAAUUCUUUUCUAGAAAACGUCCCAAAGUAUAAAUAACGUCUACAAAAUAUAAAAAAUCUAACUCUACUAAUAACUGAGCUACAGAAGACGGGAUCUGUGCUGGGCCACGCUGUAUUUUUUUCAGUUAAGAACUGUAAUUUCAGUGAUGUCAAUAAUCAAUUUUUUCGUAAAAUUUCAUUUUAGAGUAGGUAAGGGCAAAGUUGCUCAUUUUUACGCUCAACAAUUAUCUGAAAGAAAAUUUGAUGCGUGAUUUUUAGUUUUUGAAUAAUUAUCAAAAAUCAAACAUUUAUAAUUUUCAAUUUUUUUUUAAGCGAAAACCAAACGAACUAGACAUUUUUAAUUAGGACGUUCUUUAGGCACUUUUUUACAAGGAAUCUGAAUUUGUCAUCGUAUUUUCCAAAACCUUCUUGAUGUCAGCACUCAACUUUAUUUUUUCUUAUUUGAUGAUUUAUUUUAAAAAAUAGUAUUGCAGCUCCAUUCGGAAACACCCAGAAUAUUUAAAAAUAAUUUUAAGGGAGUUAAAGGGUUAGUAACUUAUAGCUUUGGUAAAACAUAAUGAUUUUCUAAUAUUUGAAAGUCAAUAAUUGUCUUUUCCAACUCGACACUCUGGAUAUAAAAAAUUACGUAAUUAUUAAUUUCGCCCUGCAAAAUUUUACACACACGAAUAAUUCUGUAUUGUUGCAGUUGUAUCCUUGCAGAAGAGUUUAUGAAAACGUUGUUAUUAACAUAGAAUUUAUCAAAGUAACAGAAACUCCAGCUUUUGUCUUAAGAACAAUGUCUUUGCUAAUU
Tribolium castaneum (red flour beetle) is the source of this 5801-nucleotide RNA transcript. It is a transcript of the gene named receptor-type tyrosine-protein phosphatase epsilon, with no coding region annotated. The transcript has 21 exons. NCBI's taxonomy places the organism in Eukaryota, Metazoa, Arthropoda, Insecta, Coleoptera, Tenebrionidae. The record is from RefSeq and is a predicted model, not a curated record.